RNAcentral lists this ribosomal RNA (210 nucleotides) under Entomoneis paludosa. RNAcentral describes it as "Amphiprora paludosa partial Eukaryotic large subunit ribosomal RNA". It matches the Rfam family "Eukaryotic large subunit ribosomal RNA", at positions 2613 to 2822 of the family's 3401-position model. Lineage: Eukaryota; Bacillariophyta; Bacillariophyceae; Surirellales; Surirellaceae. The record is from RNAcentral.
UGGGGAGUUUGGCUGGGGCGGCACGUCUGCAAAACGAUAACGCAGGCGUCCUAAGGGUAGCUCAUGAGGGACAGAAACCUUCAGUAGACCAAAAGGGGACAUGCUACCUUGAUUUUGCUUUUCAGUGUGAAUACAAACCGUGAAAGCGUGGCCUAUCGAUCCUUUCAUUAUGGGGGUGCUCCAUGGAGAGGUGCCAGAAAAGUUACCACA